Small nucleolar RNA from Heterocephalus glaber (naked mole-rat), 126 nucleotides. NCBI's taxonomy places the organism in Eukaryota, Metazoa, Chordata, Mammalia, Rodentia, Bathyergidae. The record is from Ensembl.
GGUCCUGAGUUUGAUUCCAGGUACCAAAAAAAAAGAAUCAAUAUAGCCUGAAGACAGAAGAGAAGCACAUCUCCCUCCCUAGCAUGAUUCUGCUUUCUUGUGCGGCCUAUAUCCUGGGCUGACAGA